Long non-coding RNA from Haliotis rubra (blacklip abalone), 125 nucleotides. RefSeq lists it as uncharacterized. The record is from RefSeq and is a predicted model, not a curated record. The transcript has 4 exons. Lineage: Eukaryota; Metazoa; Mollusca; Gastropoda; Lepetellida; Haliotidae.
GAUUGAUGUGCUUUCGGCUGAGGCUUUGGCUUUGGAGGAGGGUUGGCAUUCUCCAGGUCAUCCGCCAGUUCAAGCAGGUGCCAGGCUAUCUGCACCCAAAUGAAACCUCUCUCCUCCACUAACUU